AAGUUUAAGUUACUAAAACUAAGGGCCUUCAAAGCCCUAAACAGGGACAAGCCCUAACUUCUG
This 63-nucleotide transfer RNA is filed under the name Pachydactylus austeni. RNAcentral describes it as "tRNA-Trp". Lineage: Eukaryota; Metazoa; Chordata; Lepidosauria; Squamata; Gekkonidae. The record is from RNAcentral.